GAAUCCAAGGAGGCCUAGAAUGAGCUGAAUGGGAU
RNAcentral lists this transfer RNA (35 nucleotides) under Amolops mantzorum (Kangting sucker frog). RNAcentral describes it as "partial tRNA-Arg". The record is from RNAcentral. Lineage: Eukaryota; Metazoa; Chordata; Amphibia; Anura; Ranidae.